This 497-nucleotide ribosomal RNA is filed under the name uncultured bacterium. Its description in RNAcentral is "partial 16S ribosomal RNA". It matches the Rfam family "Bacterial small subunit ribosomal RNA", at positions 28 to 507 of the family's 1533-position model. The record is from RNAcentral.
GAUGAACGCUGGCGGCGUGCCUAAUACAUGCAAGUCGAGCGAACGGACGAGAAGCUUGCUUCUCUGAUGUUAGCGGCGGACGGGUGAGUAACACGUGGAUAACCUACCUAUAAGACUGGGAUAACUUCGGGAAACCGGAGCUAAUACCGGAUGAUAUUUUGAACCGCAUGGUUCAAAAGUGAAAGACGGUCCUGCUGUCACUUAUAGAUGGAUCCGCGCUGCAUUAGCUAGUUGGUAAGGUAACGGCUUACCAAGGCAACGAUGCAUAGCCGACCUGAGAGGGUGAUCGGCCACACUGGAACUGAGACACGGUCCAGACUCCUACGGGAGGCAGCAGUAGGGAAUCUCCCGCAAUGGGCGAAAGCCUGACGGAGCAACGCCGCGUGAGUGAUGAAGGUCUUCGGAUCGUAAAACUCUGUUAUUAGGGAAGAACAUAUGUGUAAGUAACUGUGCACAUCUUGACGGUACCUAAUCAGAAAGCCACGGCUAACUACGUG